This 5039-nucleotide long non-coding RNA is filed under the name Homo sapiens (human). RNAcentral describes it as "HSALNT0022145". The record is from RNAcentral. Lineage: Eukaryota; Metazoa; Chordata; Mammalia; Primates; Hominidae.
UAAGUGGGCACAUGGGAGCACCCUCAGCUCCCUCUCCAUGGGAUACCCUGUGGGGCACUUCAGAGUCCCCACCAGCAAGAAGGCUCUCUCUCACCAGAUGUGCCCCCCGCCAACCUUGGAUGUCUCAGUCUCCAGAACUCAGAUGAGCCAGCUCCCUUGUGAAGCUGUAAGAACAUGGUACUUACAGGAGUAAGGCUCAUGAAGUGGAGAGAUGAGAAGACUUUCGGGACAGAUUGUGUGGAGGCUGUCAUUCUCCUCGUGACAUUGCUGUGGGAGAAGAAGGAGGCAUUCCAUGUUGGCUUCAGUGAAGAACUUCAGGGAGUUAAUUGAAGAUACAAUACAGUCAAGCAACAGGAGGAAAGAAACAACAAAUGGGAGACAUGAGGUUCCGAGGAUCAUGGUUCCAACACAGGACAGCAGAAAAGAGGAGUUGCAAAAUGACUGCUACAAAACAGACUUAAAGAGAAAACAUUCCAGUUUCACGUAGGAGGACAAAAGAAAAAACAAAACAACAUGAACAUCCAUUCUCUGCUUCUUUUCAGAGAAGGAUGGAGCAAAUGCCCCAGAUGAAGCCUACACGACAUGAGUCAGAGAACUUUGGCCAGGAUGUCUGGGGAAAAAGUUUCCUCUUUCUUCUCUGGGAACUAUCUGGAGAGGGUUGUUUUAACGCUGGAUGUGAACAGCGACUCGUGUAGCCCCAGAAGCCUCUGACAGCCGCGUUGGAAUCAUAAGUUCUCAAAAUGAAGGUUGUGGUCUAGAAAGCAUAUUGUGAUUUGUACAAGAAGCACAUUCCCAUUUUACAAAAGUACAAAAGCACAUUUUGGACUUUUAACAAAUUCAACUGUUUUGUGUUCUGUGUGAGUAAAUUUUAGGUUGCCCAUCAUUGAAAACCAGUUUAAAAAAAAAUAAUGGGAGUAGAUAAUCCAGACAACAUUUUCUACCGUAUUUGUUGACUCCAGUUGUUGGAAAGUAAAAUUCUGGAGGAAGAGCUGGGAUAUCUCCAGGGGCUUAGUUUAACAUCAUCAAAGACUCUCCUGCUCCCCCUUUGCAUGUUACAGUAUCUGCUUUACCAAUCAGAGGGAAAUUUAUCAUGUAGGAUUUAAAGGAGAUAUUUAUGGCGUCCGUAAGCACAAUGACUUUGACUGGUAAGACGUCAGCUAUUCCCUUUAGGAGAUAAAAGGCCACAGCUGGUGAGGUAAUAGAACAGGAACUGUUUCAAUAUUUCAAAACAGAAGACCUUGUUGAAGAAGAGAGAUUUUAUAUGGCAUUUGCUUUUAUUUUUUUCCUUCUAUGAUGAACAGGUGUGGGAGUCAAUUCAAGAAGGCAGCUUAGAUGAUUGUGAGACAAGGGAGGGAGGUAAAUAUUUUUGAUGGUUGGGGAAGGACUGAGAUUUUCAAACUUCAAACCAAACAUGUAGUCCAAGCCUUUUCUACCUGUGUACACAAAGGAAAGAGGAAACUAAGUCAAUGUAAAAUAGGCAGUUGUUGUUUGGAAAAGUUAUGAAAUCCUCCUGGCUACACAAAACAGAAAGCCCAGCUAUGUGACAAGUGUUUGAUGUAAAUAUGCAAAUGCAGUUUUAAAUUCAUUAUACCUAAGGGAACAAGGUGUCUGGGUAAGGGGGGUUCUACUGUUUCUUAAGCUUACAAAGCAGGUCCUUGAAUAAUGUCAUUUAAGUUCAAUGUAAUUUCCUUAUAAUGUUGAUGAGAAAAAAAAAAUGGAUUCCUAGCUGAAGUCAUUGUGUGUGUGGACUUUGCAUGUCCUCCCCAUGUCUGGUUUCCUCCCAAAACCCAAAGCUGUGUCCGUUAGAUGAAUCAGUGUGUCUCACUGGUCCCAGCGUGAGUGAGUGUUGCUAUGUAUGAGUGGGCCCUGCAAUGGGAAUGGUGACCUGUCUGGGGCUGGUUCCAGCCUGGUACCCUGAGCUACCAGAAGUGGCUCUGGCCCCUUGAGCUUCUGAACUUGAAUAAGUGGGUAAAUUAUUAUCUUACUUGUUUUUGUUAACCUUUCUUAAGUGUAUGUGUAGCUCACCUUCCUUUCAAAGUUAUUUUGAUGUUUAUUUCAAUAUUAGAAGUGUUUGGGUCUUUCUUUAGAAGUUUGGUGAUUUUUUUUUUUGUGACCAAAAUAUGCUGUAGCAACUUAACUCUUGUUUAGAUCGGUUAGCUUAUAGCAAAGCUAUUUUCGUUAUGUGUUCUUUCACUUGAAGUUCCAGUUUCCAAGAACCUAUUGUCCAAGAUAAGUAAGGACUUACUGUACUUCUGGGCACACAAUGGGCUAAGCAUCUUAUAUUAUCAAAUGAGAUGAAAUAAAAUAUAAUGCUAAAAUGAUGUUAAAAAGUUAUCACAUUAUAACAAAUUAUAAGAAUUAUUAAAAUGACAGGAUAUAUUAAAGCACUGUAAAAAGUAAAGCUUAGUAGAUGCAUUAGAGGUUAUGAUUGGCAUUGCUAACAUUAUUAUUAUUAAAAUCCUUCAGUGCUGGGCACCACUUAUUUCUACCCUUAUAACCCCAUGGACCUGUACUGUAUCUUGUAAUAAAACCCUCAAUAAAUAUUUGAUACAUUGCUGAAUAAAAGGUAGGUUGACUUCUUAAAGUACCUGCAAAAUACCUCAUCCACAAGAGAAAAAGGCAAGAGAAUAACCUUGCUUCAUGAAGAAAGUAUCGAUCAUUCAGGCGUUAAAUUUUCCAUUUGUUCAUUUUUUUUUUUUUCCAGCAGAAACUCUUGGAGAAAUUGCAUAGCAUUAUUUUAAACAAUUCCCCUCAGAGGCCCAUUAGAUAGGCUUUUCUGCAGACAGGAUAGAUGUCUUUUACAGCUGGUCAGUGUUUAGUUCUCCCAAUACUUGACUGAAGAAAGAAAAUAACUGGGAUGUAAGAUAUCUGACCUAUAGAUUGCUCAUUCUCUGCAUGAGUCAAUCUUUGAAGUCGGAAGAUAAAAAUCACCAUUAAUCACAAAACUUUCUUACCAUCAUAAGGUCAGAUAUCCCAGGGCCCUUCCAAAAUUACCACGUGGACUGGCAUAGGGCGAGAUUGGCUCAGCUGUGGUCACUUUUAUGACACAGAGCUCCUUCCCUCUGGUUGAUGAUAUUGAAUGAGCAGGAAGGAAGAAAAGAAAUAAAAGUCAGCUAACCAUGGUUGAGUCAAUCCAGCCCACGGCAUUCAAAGGCUGAAGGGCCACCUGACACUCCAGAGGCUGCUGGAAAUGCAGGGCUGUUUCAUCCUGGGGUGAGUUUCCGUUAGAAGAAAUACUGACUUGAAUGAAACAAAGAGUCCGUCCCUUGCUUUAUUGGACAAUGAAAGUUCCCAUCAUACUGAUCAAAGAUCGAGGAUUUGGGACAUGUGGGAAUGCAUUAAUAUCUCACCUGUGGCUGAGGCAGAUGUGUGUUUCCAAAUGAUAAUUUCUUUUCCUGCAAAGCCAGGUGUGUAAGGAGAACUAAGGGAAAAGGAAACUUUUUUUUCCUGUGAAAAUCUGGAUCCACUUCAAUCCAAUUCAGUUUCAAAAACAUUUAUUUACUUUGUGUCCCUUAAGUAAAUAGAAUAUUAUCCUGAAAACACAAAGAACAUAGAAACUGAAGUGAGAUAGGAAAUUAAAUGGAAAGGAAGGGAAGAGGGGAGAAAAACAGGGAGGAAGGAAAGAUUGCUGAGGGACCUUUUGUAUUGUGCUGUUUAAUAGACACAUUAUUGCUUUCAGUCCUCAAAGCAAUCUUGGGAGAAUGGUAUUGUUUAAUCAUUUGCCAGAUGAGGAAACUGAAACUCAGGGAGGUUCCUACUUGCCCAGGGAGGUAAAUAUUGUUCAUUCAAUUUUGCUUUUUGAUUUCUGAAUUAUUUUCUGUAUUUUUGGAAUUGCUCUCAUUUUGAUUCUUUGCAGUGGGGAUGGGACAGGAAACCUUGUAAUUGGAACAGAUAAUACUAGAUGAUUACUUUCCCCUCUUUCCCAGACUCCCUUGAAGCUAUGGCAAAGGCUCUGAUAACCACAGGCAUCUGCCGCAGAUUUUUCCUCAAAAGUUCCUGAGAGGGAAUGAGUGGAGAGUAUGCUUGUGCUCUCUGGCAGUGGCUCUUUCUCUGUCUCUCGCUCUGCUAUAAGAGCAGAUGACUCCAAUGAUGGUUAGUGGUGGCUACAGCGUUUUCCUUACGAAAGUGUUUCUGAGACUUAAUUUUGCAUUAUUGCUAGAAGCUGGGUCUUAUGCUUUUGUUUUCUGGCCCUUCUAAUACUCUAUUAGCUAUUCAAUAUCUUUUUCAAAAACACUUCAUUGUAGAUUAUUUAGCACAUUCAAAAAUAUAGAGAAUAGCAUAAUAAGCCUCCAUAUACCAAUUUCCUUCUUAAACAAUUAUCAACACAUGGACAAUCUUGCUUCAUCUGCACCCCUAUCCAUUUCCACAAUUACCUGGAUUAUUUCAAAUGAAUCUCGGGCCUCAUCUUAUUUCAUCUGUAAAAUGUUAAUUCUUUAUCUCUAAAAUAGAAAUAUUGUUUUACGAAUGAGCACAAUAUCAUUAUCCUACCUAAUGAUAGUUCCUUAAUAUUAAAUGUCUGUAUACAGAUGUCUGAUUAUCUUAUAAUUUUGAUACAUUUAUAAAAUAUCUUCAAAUCAGCAUCAAAAUAAGUUCCAUACACUAAAAUUGGUUGAUAUGUCAUUUAAAUUUCCUUUAAUGUAUAGAUUCAAUUUUCCUCUUACUCUUUUGUUUUUUAAACACAUUGUUUUCCUGUAGAAUUUCCCCCGUAAGAAUUUGCUAAUUGGAUCCUUGUGGUUUCACGUAUCAUGCUUUUCUGUCCCAUGUGUUUUCUGCAAAUUAUUAGUUGGAUCUAGAGGCUCAAUCACAUUCACCUUGGAUUCAUUUGGCAAGUCAACUUCAUAAAUGGUGCUGUGAGCCUCUAUUAGGGCAUAUAAAAUGUCUAAUUGUCUCCUUUUUCGUGAAGUCAGCAGUGAUUGAUGACUACUAUUUAGAUACACUAUAUCAUUAGGAGUAGCAGAAAGGUGAUAUUAUAAUUCUAUCAUACUCUUUAAAUUUGUUACCUGGAAUCCUUCCAUAAAGAGAAAAUUCUCAUACAUUAC